GUGUAGGGCCAUGCCCCCCUGAACGUGCGGGAUCCCGUCUGAUCCCGGAAGUUAAGCAGGGUCCAGACUGAUUAGUACUUGGAUGGGAGUCCACCUAGGAAGACUAGGUGCUUUAGGCG
Molecule: ribosomal RNA, 119 nt
Filed under: Pteropus alecto (black flying fox)
Lineage: Eukaryota; Metazoa; Chordata; Mammalia; Chiroptera; Pteropodidae
Source: RNAcentral